AUUUAUCAUAUAAUCAUCUAUUUUAGGGAAUACAUGCAGCAUUAAGACGACAGCUGGAAAAUGCUGCCUUUUCCCCUUUACGUACAAGGGUAAAAAGUAUUUCAGUUGCACUAGCAUCGACCACAAUAGGAAAUGGUGUUAUACCACCGAUAAUUCGCCGAAAGACAAGAAAAGGAAAUGGGGAAACUGUCAAUAAAUCACAGGCACAAAGGCGCAGCAAGGACAACCAAAGAUAAAACAAGUUGCAUUAAACUAGUUAAGAAAUAUAGUAAACGUUGUAGCAAGUAACAAUACAGUAAUAAAGUAGAACAGUAAACUUA
This is a long non-coding RNA of Exaiptasia diaphana, 320 nucleotides long. RefSeq lists it as uncharacterized. Lineage: Eukaryota; Metazoa; Cnidaria; Anthozoa; Actiniaria; Aiptasiidae. The record is from RefSeq and is a predicted model, not a curated record. The transcript is spliced from 2 exons.